GUACGAUCGACGACUCCUGCCCUCGAGCGAGGUCUCCCUUCGCCGCCGCCCUUCAUCCCUUCGCCGCCGCCGCUCCACCCAGAGCCGCCCUCUUCCCUCCCACGCCGAGCCACCGUCUUCCCCGCCCGCGCCGCUCUCUUCCCCGCCCGCGCUGCCCUCCACUCACCUUCUGUUCUUCAAGCGGGGACGCCCCAGAUCAAGUCGAGCAAGUCAGCGGGGCAGCGGCCAGAUCCUCCACGGCCACAUCUCCUUGGUGUUGUUGUCCUCAAUAGGCUAAUGACUCGAGGCAUGCUGCUAGCACAAUUACAGAAGGCCAUACAGUCAGCGGCAAAGUGCUCGCCGUCGCUAAUGAUUGAUUGCUGA
Molecule: ribosomal RNA, 363 nt
Filed under: Triticum aestivum (bread wheat)
Lineage: Eukaryota; Viridiplantae; Streptophyta; Magnoliopsida; Poales; Poaceae
Description: partial small subunit ribosomal RNA
Source: RNAcentral